UCAUUCAAUAUAUUUUUGAGUUUUAUUUUUUGUUGUAGCACAGUUUCAAAUUUCCCUGGAUUCUUAAAGAAAUCCAACAAAAGGAACAACAACAACAAUAGCUUUCUUUUCAGUAGUCACAGAGCGAGCAUCCUUGUGGCCAGAUCAAAAUCUCAGCUGAAAAGGAAAGUCAGAUAAAAUGGAAUCAAUAUUAAAACAACCUACAACCAAUACCUUAGAAUGAAAGAAUGCUGGCUUGAUGAAUGAAUAUUCAAAGCAAGAGGACACUGUGAAGAUCACAGGGAAUUCUGAGCACCUAUUUUGAUGAAGUCCAUAACUGGAAUGUGUCUUUGUAGUGGAACACAGCAUAUCCUUGGUCAAUAAUGGAAAAUAAAUUCCUCCAUACACCCCAAUAGGUCCAAACUUUCUUUCUUUCUUUCUUUCUUUCUUUCUUUCUUUCUUUCUUU
Python bivittatus (Burmese python) is the source of this 446-nucleotide long non-coding RNA. RefSeq lists it as uncharacterized. The record is from RefSeq and is a predicted model, not a curated record. Lineage: Eukaryota; Metazoa; Chordata; Lepidosauria; Squamata; Pythonidae.